UACGUAGGGGGCAAGCGUUAUCCGGAAUUACUGGGUGUAAAGGGUGAGUAGGCGGCAUGGUAAGCCAGAUGUGAAAGCCUUGGGCUUAACCCGAGGAUUGCAUUUGGAACUAUCAAGCUAGAGUACAGGAGAGGAAAGCGGAGUUCCUAGUGUAGCGGUGAAAUGCGUAGAUAUUAGGAAGAACACCAGUGGCGAAGGCGGCUUUCUGGACUGAAACUGACGCUGAGGCACGAAAGCGUGGGGAGCGAACAGG
This 253-nucleotide ribosomal RNA is filed under the name uncultured bacterium. RNAcentral's name for it is "partial 16S ribosomal RNA". It matches the Rfam family "Bacterial small subunit ribosomal RNA", at positions 524 to 776 of the family's 1533-position model. The record is from RNAcentral.